GUUCAAUCAGAAGAAUGCAAAAAAGAUUAUGUAGCACUCAUUGAAGAAGGCAAGAGCAACGAGGUGAAUGGCAGCUGCCUUUCAUCCAGAAGCAAUGGAGGCCUGUUACUGAACACACUGUCUCCGUUUCUGUCGCCUCCCUUCCUUGGCAUAAAUGUCUCAUGAAAGUCACAGAGCACCCAGCUGUAUUUGGAAGGCAUUCACAAAACUCAACAGAUGAGGCUUGCGUCGUUCUCCAAAGCUCUGGAGAGGGAGCAUGGUGUGCUGCUCAAGAUGGGCAAGGUGUCAGGGUGCCCAGGUCCCCGAGAGAGGGUAGGGAUGGCGGUGGAGACCUGGUUAGGACCACCGUGGCCUAUCCUGGGCUGCCAGAGCCUGGCAUCAGACAUCACCAUCCAGGCCCUGGACAUCUCACCUUGAAACAAAACCAAACAUGUGCUCUCUUGGGAACUCAGCAACCUUUCAAGGCAAGGAAGCUGGCAAAUAAGCCUCUGUGUAGACCUGGUCCAGGACUGUUACCAGUGCUGACCGUACUGGUCCAGUGCCCUUUAGCGUCAUCUUAG
RNAcentral lists this long non-coding RNA (560 nucleotides) under Vulpes vulpes (red fox). RNAcentral describes it as "lncRNA (ENSVVUG00000004294.1)". Lineage: Eukaryota; Metazoa; Chordata; Mammalia; Carnivora; Canidae. The record is from RNAcentral.